This 279-nucleotide ribosomal RNA is filed under the name Triticum aestivum (bread wheat). RNAcentral's name for it is "partial small subunit ribosomal RNA". The record is from RNAcentral. Lineage: Eukaryota; Viridiplantae; Streptophyta; Magnoliopsida; Poales; Poaceae.
AUGAAAUGCCUGAGUUGGAACUGCCGGGGGCUUGGGAACCCCGAGGCAGUUCGAGAGCUUCGGAAAAUAACGAAGCAAGAAGGGCCCGCUUUGCUCUUCGUUUCGGAGACGAAGAUCAGGGCUAGACGAGUAGAGAUUCUGCAACAAAGUCUUGGCUUUGCGGGAUGCUUUGCGGUGGAUAGUGCAUGACUUAGCGGUGGAAUUGGUUUGUUCUGGUCAAGUGAUGUGAAGGUCGAGUUAAAAAACUACAGUUGUGGACACAUUGAUGUUAUGGUCUAG